GCAAACCCGACCUCUAUUUCACCCAAAAUCUAAAUCUCACAGUUCCCCCAUAUCUUGGUCGCUCAUUCUUGUUCAGACCCAGCUCCCUCGAAUCCCAACAAAUGCAAUGCCAUGCCUGACCCUCCUCACUUUGGUUCAGACCUAUAGUGAUUAAACCGUAAAACGCCACGCAAAUGCCAGAGCCUCACUCUGGUUCAGACUUAUCUCCCUCGAAUCCAUUGUUGUCCAAUACCCUCCCAAAUAAAGAAACAGAAAUGGCAAAACACAGAGACCAUGAAGAACGCAGAAAAGCUGGUGGAGAGAAACAUGAAAGGAAACAAAGCCUCUUGUGAUGCAUCGUCCGUAUGGAGGAUCAGGGAUCUUGAUUUCUCCCUCGCCUGUGAGGAAGGCCUAUCUUUUAGCCCUGAUUCCAUGAAAAUCAUAGAGCUUGCCGCACUUCUACAUGAUAUAGGUAACUACAAAUACUUGAGAGACCCACCUGAAGCAAAUUGUUAAGAUGUUUUUGGAGGAAGAGGGUGUGGAUGAAAUAAAGAAGAUGAAGAUAGGGGAAAUGGAAAUUUUGGCAAUACAAAUCAAUAAUUAAAAAAAAAUUAAUAAUAAAGGGCAUUGAUUACAGAUGAGAUGGGCACCAUGUUCUCUGACAAUGGAGAUUGCUGGAUGGGUUUCGUCCGCAUGAGGUCUUUGCUGGAGAUACAGUAGAGGUGGAUGAAAUCGAGGGUAUUUUGGGUAUUUUA
RNAcentral lists this unclassified non-coding RNA (734 nucleotides) under Hevea brasiliensis (rubber tree). Lineage: Eukaryota; Viridiplantae; Streptophyta; Magnoliopsida; Malpighiales; Euphorbiaceae. The record is from RNAcentral.